ACAAACUUGGUCAUUUAGAGGAAGUAAAAGUCAUAACAAGGUAUCUGUAGGUGAACCUGCAGAUGGAUCAUUAGUGAAUAACAAGGGGAUCCCACUCUGUGGGCCCCAACCCUAUCACCAAAUCCACACACCUGUGCACCGCUAGUGAUGACCGAUGUGCAAGCAUCUUGUCAUCGCCGGCACCCUUCACACACACACACAAAGUAACUGAAUGUCACUGUAACUACGCAAGUAGAAACAAAAUACAACUUUUGACAACGGAUCUCUUGGUUCUCCCAUCGAUGAAGAACGCAGC
This 295-nucleotide unclassified non-coding RNA is filed under the name uncultured fungus. RNAcentral describes it as "partial contains small subunit ribosomal RNA, internal transcribed spacer 1, and 5.8S ribosomal RNA". The stretch from base 1 to 73 matches the Rfam family "Eukaryotic small subunit ribosomal RNA", at positions 1759 to 1831 of the family's 1831-position model. Lineage: Eukaryota; Fungi. The record is from RNAcentral.